RNAcentral lists this ribosomal RNA (433 nucleotides) under uncultured bacterium. RNAcentral's name for it is "partial 16S ribosomal RNA". It matches the Rfam family "Bacterial small subunit ribosomal RNA", at positions 29 to 507 of the family's 1533-position model. The record is from RNAcentral.
AACGAACGCUGGCGGCAUGCCUAACACAUGCAAGUCGAACGAGACCUUCGGGGCUAGUGGCGCACGGGUGCGUAACGCGUGGGAACCUGCCCUUAGGUUCGGAAUAACUCCCCGAAAGGGGUGCUAAUACAGGAUAAUGUCUUCGGACCAAAGAUUUAUCGCCUUUGGAUGGGCCCGCGUUGGAUUAGCUAGUUGGUAGGGUAAAAGCCUAUCAAGGCGACGAUCCAUAGCUGGUCUGAGAGGAUGAUCAGCCACACUGGGACUGAGACACGGCCCAGACUCCUACGGGAGGCAGCAGUGGGGAAUAUUGGACGAUGGGCGAGAGCCUGAUCCAGCAAUGCCGCGUGAGUGAUUAAGGCCUUAGGGUUGUGAAGCUCUUUUACCCGGGAUGAUAAUGACAGUACCGGGAGAAUAAGCUCCGGCUAACUCCGUG